UACGAAGGGGGCUAGCGUUGUUCGGAAUUACUGGGCGUAAAGGGCGCGUAGGCUGUGCUGUAAGUCAGGCGUGAAAGCCCCGGGCUCAACCUGGGAAUUGCGUUUGAUACUGCGGCGCUGGAAGGUGGGAGAGGAUGGCGGAAUUCCCAGUGUAGAGGUGAAAUUCGUAGAUAUUGGGAAGAACACCGGUGGCGAAGGCGGCCAUCUGGCCCACAUUUGACGCUGAGGCGCGAAAGCGUGGGGAGCAAACAG
Molecule: ribosomal RNA, 252 nt
Filed under: uncultured bacterium
Lineage: Bacteria
Description: partial 16S ribosomal RNA
Rfam family: Bacterial small subunit ribosomal RNA
Source: RNAcentral